GAUGAACGCUGGCGGCGUGCCUAAUACAUGCAAGUCGAGCGAACAGAUGAGGAGCUUGCUCCUCUGACGUUAGCGGCGGACGGGUGAGUAACACGUGGAUAACCUACCUAUAAGACUGGGAUAACUUCGGGAAACCGGAGCUAAUACCGGAUAAUAUAUUGAACCGCAUGGUUCAAUAGUGAAAGACGGUUUUGCUGUCACUUAUAGAUGGAUCCGCGCCGCAUUAGCUAGUUGGUAAGGUAACGGCUUACCAAGGCAACGAUGCGUAGCCGACGUGAGGGGGUGAUCGGCCACACUGGAACUGAGACACGGUCCAGGCUCCUACGGGAGGCAGCAGUAGGGAAUCUUCCGCAAUGGGCGAAAGCCUGACGGAGCAACGCCGCGUGAGUGAUGAAGGUCUUCGGAUCGUAAAACUCUGUUAUUAGGGAAGAACAAAUGUGUAAGUAACUAUGCACGUCUUGACGGUACCUAAUCAGAAAGCCACGGCUAACUACGUG
RNAcentral lists this ribosomal RNA (497 nucleotides) under uncultured bacterium. RNAcentral describes it as "partial 16S ribosomal RNA". It matches the Rfam family "Bacterial small subunit ribosomal RNA", at positions 28 to 507 of the family's 1533-position model. The record is from RNAcentral.